RNAcentral lists this ribosomal RNA (253 nucleotides) under uncultured bacterium. RNAcentral describes it as "partial 16S ribosomal RNA". It matches the Rfam family "Bacterial small subunit ribosomal RNA", at positions 524 to 776 of the family's 1533-position model. The record is from RNAcentral.
UACGUAGGGGGCAAGCGUUGUCCGGAUUUAUUGGGCGUAAAGCGCGCGCAGGCGGUUUCUUAAGUCUGAUGUGAAAGCCCACGGCUCAACCGUGGAGGGUCAUUGGAAACUGGGAGACUUGAGUGCAGAAGAGAAGAGUGGAAUUCCACGUGUAGCGGUGAAAUGCGUAGAGAUGUGGAGGAACACCAGUGGCGAAGGCGACUCUUUGGUCUGUAACUGACGCUGAGGCGCGAAAGCGUGGGGGGCAAACAGG